This 2895-nucleotide long non-coding RNA is filed under the name Salmo salar (Atlantic salmon). Its description in RNAcentral is "lncRNA (ENSSSAG00000083789.1)". Lineage: Eukaryota; Metazoa; Chordata; Actinopteri; Salmoniformes; Salmonidae. The record is from RNAcentral.
GAUGCAUAGUGCGCGUAGUUGGGGCGGCCUUCUGACACUGAGGAAGUAUAAGACUCUUGGCCGCCGAGCCUAAAGGAGCUAAAGCCGCAAUAGAGGUAUUCGGCGGCUUCACUGGCUGUGCUCCCGAUACGCUUCUGGACAGCCACUGACUUGAGAUCUCAAACAAUUCCCUUUGAACCACGCAGCCAUUUUUUCUUUUAAUUUACCUCCAAGAAAAUAGAAAAUAGCAGCAGCUAGGAUGAACACCAAAACAACCACCACCACCAUUGUUGGCCUUCCUGUGUCGUCGCAGUGCUUCUCUUUGGGAGUGACAGUAACAGCUUCUGGAUUUCCUCUCUGGUGGUCAGGGCCGAAGAAACACAGUAGUGCCGCAUUGAGCUUCAAUGAACAUUUCCAGCUAUCAAAACCACCACCACUACCCCCUGGACCAGCCACGGACUACCCAGGUUUGAUGCCCCAAAGUCCGCCUCCACCUCAUCCACCACCCAUUGAGCCAGUGGAAGCAGUGGAGAGACACCAGUGCUCAACACCCUCUCCCCAGGUUUAGGUGACCCUAGCCAUGCUAGUGAUGGGAAUGGAGGGGCAUCUAUGAUGGAUGCCAGCAUCAUGACUUCCACAAGCUGUCUGUUCAAGCCAAGCCUACCACCACCACCACUUCCACCAAGGGGGGCCCUGUCGUCCGGCCUCUGCCCAUGCUCGGUGAGGGUUCCCAGGCACAGCUCCGGCCACCGAUGGCCUCCCCUUGAUGUCUCUCUCCAACCCCCUCUACAGAGAGUCUAUGAUGACUUCUCACAACUGUGCCAACACAGCCUCCUCCUCUUCCUCCUCUUCCUCCUCUUCCUCCUCCUUCGCUCCAGUCUUCCCUCCAUCCCUGCCCUGCGCUAACUGUGGCUACAUCCAGGGCUCUACAGCCCCCACUACCUCACGGCUGCCCCAAAGAGGACAGGCUAGUCCGGAGAGACUCUACUACCUCCAUCCCCUCUAUAUAUCCACAAAGAGAGAUCUAAAUUGACAAAUAAAGGUGGCCAACAGGGGGCAGCAGAGGCACACCAUUCCAUAACAACAGCUAUACUUGUAGGAGUGUUUACAUUUUGUGAUGUAACCCCAUAAUUAGGUUGGGGGUUUUUUCCCAAAUGGCACCCUACUCCCUAUAUAGUGCACUACUUCUAACCAGGAACCAUGGGGCUCUUGUCAAAGAUAGUACACUAUAUAGGGAAGGUUCUGACAUAUGUAAUAUUACUGCUACAGUAUAUUGGUGGGGCUUACUAUGUGGUUAUCUGGAUCUGUAGCCAGUGGGUGGGGUUUACUAUGUGGUUAUCUGGAUCUGUAGCCAGUGGGUGGGGCUUACUAUGUGGUUGUCUGGAUCUGUAGCCAGUGGGUGGGGCUUACUAUGUGGUUGUCUGUAUCUGUAGCCAGUGGGUGGGGCUUACUAUGUGGUUGUCUGGAUCUGUAGCCAGUGGGUGGGGCUUACUAUGUGGUUGUCUGGAUCUGUAGCCAGUGGGUGGGGCUUACUAUGUGGUUGUCUGGAUCUUGCAGGCAGUGGGUGGGGCUUACUAUGUGGUUGUCUGGAUUUGUAGCUAGUGGGUGGGGCUUACUAUGUGGUUGUCUGGAUCUGUAGCCAAUGGCUUGUUAUUGGCUACCCAUAUAUUAACAUCUCAUACAGUAAGGCAUAGCAAUAGUAGCAUAGGAAUCCUGUAUAUAUGAUGUAAUAACCUAAUAAUGAAUAUUAUAUUGUCCUGACUGUCCUGAUCAGGUCAGGUUACAGGAGACCACAACACUACAGAUUAUCUCUCAACCCCCAACAGAGGAGGAGAGAUCUAGGGGUCUGAAGAUGUGGGGGUUUUAUGACCCCUCACGCCCAUGAUAGUCUUAGGCCACAGAGAAAUUCCUUUGUCCUCUCACUGUGGAGAACCUGCCUCAGAACAUUAAACAUGCAAUAAAGGGACUUUGGAACAAUGGUUUCCGUCAGCCACAAGGGUGGUUAUGACGAUAGAUGGGAUAUGAAAAUGUGUGUAAUUUUUGUUUUGUUAUUAAAGGUUAAUAGAUGACGUUAUUACGAAAACAUUGUACCUUUAAGAGUUUUCACAGUAUAUGCCUGAUGUUUAUACAUUGUACGUUGUGUGGAAAAUGUCCAAAUCAAAGAGAAUGUUUUGGUAAAGAUGAAAUGUGAAGUUAGUUGUCUAAAAUUGGAUUUGGGUAAAAUCUAGACCUCCAGCCUCUUAACUUGGUCCGCCCAGAGAAUUGCCCUAAAGGCGGUUACGCCCACUUCUGACCCGAGGGUAUUAGACAUGGGAGUUAAGAAUUAACAUACAGACUAAGUGACCCAAGCUGCAGCAGAGGUCUAAAAAGUCAACGAACCCCAAAACGCAACACAAGGAAGAAGACAAAUAAAUAUUCUUCUACCCAUGCUAUGGAUGAGUAGCUGUGUCUAAGCGGGUGAACUCAAGCCGGAACACCUGGCCUACACACCUGGCCUACUGGUAUCUACGCUGUUUCAUUCCUACGUUGUGAGCUCUGAGCUACAGACCUGGCUGUCCUCAGACGACCCCUUUCAGAGCCAGGGCGAGGAAUCAGACCACUAAGCCAAAAGGACACUGACAUCGUGAGGACAACCAGAGAGUUGCGCCGGAGAAGUGCGUCAUUGAGAAGCCUAAACGACCCACGCGGAGCUUCCCAUCUGAGACCUCCAACACGUAAUUACAUCAUUAUAUUCUGACCCAUAAGAGCGGCAGUUCGGGGCAAGGCUAGGGUUAAAAUAAGCAUAGCUGACAAAUGCACCCAAAUGUAUAUUUCUCUUGUGUACUUUCUCUUGUUCUCUCUCUUUUAAAUCCCGUUUUGGGUAACACGCGCCAUAGUGUGUUGGCCCGUUAUACUAAGUCCUAAUCAAUAGCCUAG